Molecule: antisense RNA, 75 nt
Filed under: Streptomyces sp. XY152
Lineage: Bacteria; Bacillati; Actinomycetota; Actinomycetes; Kitasatosporales; Streptomycetaceae
Description: ASpks sRNA
Rfam family: ASpks TB sRNA
Source: RNAcentral
CUUGAUCGAGCCGAGCAGCAGCGGCCGGUCGGCGGGCCGGUCCUGGCCGUAGGUGGCCAGCAGCGCCUGCGCCUC